CUUUUAAAGGGGUCCUCUGCACCUGCGUGCAGACUUCUUUCCCAUGGAACCUUGGGCUGACCAGGGUAUUGCCUGAGUGGAUUCCACCAGGUAACAGGGGCAGGCCAGCAUAAUGCCUGAACCUGGGCGCCAAAAUGUUAUUGUUUUGUUUAAAAAGAAGAAAAGAGAAAUUGCUGAGACAUGAGACAUAAGACUAUAAGUUUAUUAUAAGGCCCGACAGAAUGGGGAGACUAAGAAGAGGAACAGGG
RNAcentral lists this long non-coding RNA (248 nucleotides) under Cricetulus griseus (Chinese hamster). Its description in RNAcentral is "lncRNA (ENSCGRG00000024421.1)". The record is from RNAcentral. Lineage: Eukaryota; Metazoa; Chordata; Mammalia; Rodentia; Cricetidae.